UGCGUAGGCGGUUAGUUAAGUCUGUUGUGAAAUCCCCGGGCUCAACCUGGGAAUGGCAAUGGAUACUGGCUGGCUAGAGUGUGUCAGAGGAUGGUGGAAUUCCCGGUGUAGCGGUGAAAUGCGUAGAGAUCGGGAGGAACAUCAGUGGCGAAGGCGGCCAUCUGGGACAACACUGACGCUGAAGCACGAAAGCGUGGGAGCAAACA
RNAcentral lists this ribosomal RNA (206 nucleotides) under uncultured bacterium. RNAcentral describes it as "partial 16S ribosomal RNA". It matches the Rfam family "Bacterial small subunit ribosomal RNA", at positions 568 to 774 of the family's 1533-position model. The record is from RNAcentral.